Long non-coding RNA from Panicum virgatum (switchgrass), 797 nucleotides. RefSeq lists it as uncharacterized. Lineage: Eukaryota; Viridiplantae; Streptophyta; Magnoliopsida; Poales; Poaceae. The record is from RefSeq and is a predicted model, not a curated record. The transcript has 2 exons.
AGGUCCUUAAACUACUUCUCCUGUUCUGUUUAGGUCCAUGAACUUUGAAAAUGCAUUUCUAGGUCCAGGAUCUAUUUAAGUGAGCCAUUGGAGGUCCAAAACGCCAUUGACCUGCUCUGACCGGCUACGUGGAUUGCCAAGCUGGCUCUGACGUGGACAUGGCAUCUGACGGAGGCGCAAAAAAUUGCAAGUACACCCUUCCCUUCUAUAGUAAUGUGGGGUGCGGAUCCAUGCCAUGGCUCUCAUCCUCUGUUCUCUCGUGUUCUUCUCCCCCCUCUCUGCGCCUACCUCUGAGGCCCAGAUCCAUGCCAUGGCUCGCGAAUCCAGUGCAUCGGCGUCGGAGCAGUGGGGUGCGGAUGAGCUCCCGCUCAUCCUUUGCACUGAUUGUGGGCUCCGGCAAGUGGUGCGGCGCAGAUCGAAGCAGGAAUGGAGCUUUGGGAAGGUGUUCUACUGCUGCCCGUUGCACAAGCGUGAUGGAAGUGGAUGCCCUUUUUGGUUCUGGGAAGAAGAUUACGUUGUCAAGCUUAGGAGUCUUGGGUUGCUGAAAGGAGGCAGUUCAACGCAGCUGGAAGGCCCUAUUGCAGCCCCAAGGAUGGAGUUUCUGCAUGCUAGAGAAGGAGAAUGGAAGAAGAAGAAUGCCACUGAAAUAGUUAGGUUGCUAAAGUCAAUAUGUGUUGUAUGUGUAUCUAUUCUGUGUGUGCAAUGUGUGAUGCUGUUGCUCUUAGUGUUUAAGAACUAAACAUGGAAUGUAUCGAAGCUAUUAGCAUGUAUGAACUGAGCUUGAAUUGUGAGAACCA